Molecule: ribosomal RNA, 256 nt
Filed under: uncultured bacterium
Lineage: Bacteria
Description: partial small subunit ribosomal RNA
Rfam family: Bacterial small subunit ribosomal RNA
Source: RNAcentral
AGGACGAAACGCUGGCGGCGUGCUUAACACAUGCAAGUCGAGCGGAAAGGCCCUUCGGGGUACUCGAGCGGCGAACGGGUGAGUAACACGUGAGCAACCUGCCCUUAGCUUCGGGAUAGCUCCGGGAAACCGGAAUUAAAUACCGAAUAUGAUUUUUGCUGACAUCAGCAGAAGUGGAAAGUUUUUCGGCUAGGGAUGGACUCGCGGCCUAUCAGCUAGUUGGUGAGGUAACGCCCACCAAGGCGACGACGGGGUA